Molecule: long non-coding RNA, 695 nt
Organism: Armigeres subalbatus
Lineage: Eukaryota; Metazoa; Arthropoda; Insecta; Diptera; Culicidae
Exons: 2
Source: RefSeq, a predicted model, not a curated record
GAUUUAGUCAGCAAAAUAUUAAUUUUUCGAUUUAAUUGUGUGUCAAAUUUUGUACACUUUGACACACUGUGUAUUGCCAUCGGAAACAAUGCAUACGCUGAUUCAAGCCUUCUCACAUACUGCAAAGCGGAUAAUUCGUACCUAGCGCGGGUAUAAAAGAAGCCUCCAUGCAUCGAAUCGAGGCUCAGUUCACUACAGUCGAUGGGCGAAAGUCGACUCUAAAUAAGCAUCCCGGGACAAACAGCCAGCCUUGGCUUUGGAGGAAGCCGUCGCCGGGAGAGCAGCCAGCAUCGUUAAAUUGCUGGUGCGGCAAGCAGUCGACGCGGGCCAUAGGUAGAAGUCUACCCAUCGCUGGUGCCGUGUGGAGCGUUCAACGAGUGAACAUGACCAGACGUGCAGUGCAGCAGUUCCGCAACACCCUCCCACCCACCACCAACGUGUAGAAUGUUGGAAAUUGCAAAUGUUAUUGCAACCAACUACAAUAAGAGUUAUUAAAUAGUUUUCCAUCAUGUGGUGAGUCAACGAUGGGGGCGAGUGAUAUCAUACGCACUAUGCAACUGAAAACCGACCGCGAAGCGGUCGGUUUUUUUUAGUUCGGAAUUUGGAUCCGAAGUGAAAGUGCUAGCUUUGUAAAAUGUGAGGAAGUUUGAUUCGGUUAAUAAAUUUCGAAAUUAGUUUGACGUUUUGUUGACGAA